Molecule: long non-coding RNA, 2620 nt
Organism: Patella vulgata (common limpet)
Lineage: Eukaryota; Metazoa; Mollusca; Gastropoda; Patellidae
Exons: 4
Source: RefSeq, a predicted model, not a curated record
CAUUCUUCCGUGCUCUGAUGAUAGACACACAUUUAGGGUGGUGUAGGCCUAACCCGUUGUUAUAACCAAGUUACCUUAUAGAUUUAAGGGAGAAGGAAAAACCAUAUAUAUCAAAAGCACCCUUACUAACUACAGCUAUUGACAUCGAUCAAGCCUAAAAUAAACCAACAAAAUGCCGGGUAUGAAAAUGCCGAAAGAAAACUCCGACAAAAUACGGAGGAAGAUCGAAUACAUAUACAGUAAUCUGGUCAACUGUGAUGAUCUUGUUGAUUAUCUGUUCUCUGAAGACGUUCUUGACUAUGAUCAAAAGGCUGACAUAGAAGAACAAAGAAGGGGUAAACCAAGAGUGAAGAAACUGAUAAGCAUUCUCAUGACCGAAUGUGGUGAUUGUUAUGAUACGUUUUUGAAAGGCCUGAGACAGAAGAAGCUCGAGGAAAUGGCUGAUGUAAUAGAUUCAGGACCGGAACCAAAGGACGUCAAAAUAGAACGACCAAUUACACGAUCGCAACGAGGAAAAGUAGAAAAGGGUGCGAUGGAAGAAGACCAUUUAGAGAUAUGGAAUAGCGAGCAAGAUUUCCUGGUGACAGAAUUCAAAAACCACAUCGGGGACCUAAUGAUGAAGUUGUUCACCAAAAUGAUCAUAGAUUCCGACGACAAAGAGAAAAUUAGACGAGAAAUAAAAGAAAACUUUAAUGUAGGCGGUGCUACCAAGCUCCAUGAGAUUUUAAGCGAUCGCGGUGAACAAGUACUGCCCAGGAUCCUUGACGCACUUAGACCUGUUUACAGAAAGGUAGCCAACAGACUUGAAGAUAGAUUGGCUGAACUGAAAUUGGAGAAAUUAAAUGACGGACGAUUUCCAGUACAGGAGGAGGGGUACUCAUAUUAAGCUGAAGCCUUGAAAAUUUAAUCUGAUUUAUCAUCGUAAAAAUAUUUUACAUUAUUUUAUAAAUAAAAAUAGUAUUGAAAGUAAUGAAGUAUGUUGCAAGUUUUUAAAUAGAAACUUUUUUUUUCAAAAAUGUAUAGCGAACUAUUAUUAAUAAUAAUAAUAAUAGUGAGUUCUUAUAUUGAGCACAGACUCAUCAAACUAAAUGCCCAAGAAAACAUAUUAUAGUAGAACUGAAAUUACCCCAUUGUCUUAUUAGUAAGUUUGUUUUGCUUUUGGAAUACUAAUUACAUAUUUUAAUAUUUUCUAUUACUAUUACUAUUACUAUUUAGCCUUGUUUACUUAAUAGAUUAUUAUAAAACAUCACAACAUCAUUUUGUCUUUAUACCCGAAACAGGUUUGUUUUAAUAUUUAACAUUUAUUUGAAUCCAUUUAAGCAAAAACAUUAUGUGACGUACUAAAAAAGUGAACGAUAUAAAACUGUGUUGACAACUAUUAGGUGAAUAUCUCUUUCUCUUACCCCGUUGGGUUAUAGUUGUGUUAACCUCUAAUUCUAAUAAAUGUUAAAUCUUAAAUUGAGUGAAUUUAACAAGUUCGAUGCUUCCCUGUGCUUUUGCGUCGUGUUCGAUGCAAUGUAAUCAGAUGGAUUUUCUGAAAUGGCAUUCUUAAAGAUACAUUAUGGGAGAUAAGAUAAAGAGAUGGCAGUUCUCGCUAUAAUAGUUAAAAACUAGAAAGUGUAAAGGUAAUUUGCUGAAAAUUUCAGUCAAAUUGAUCCACUAUGAGCCGAGAAAGAAGCGGGUGAAAUUUUUGCAUAUUCUCGGUCAUCAUUACUAAAAUCAUUAAUAUAAACAGCAUAGUCUCGAUUAUCCACUUUUUCUGAUUUAAUGAUCAACGGCCGUUAGCGGCAUAUAGGAAUCUAAUCCAGCCAACAUCGAAGGCUAGCCUUGACAUCGAGAGUUUAUUAUGGUCUGGAUAAGUUAAUUAAUGUCUAAUUGAUAAUUUAGAUAACAUUUCAGGCCUAAAGAAAGACUUGUAAUAAGCAGAUUUUGCACUUGCAUAAUGCAUGUUUAAAUUAAUUUCUUGGGCGUCAACAUUUUGUUUAAUGACUAGUUGCGUCCCUUAGACUUAGUGAUAAUGUAAAAGAUCGGAUAAUCUAGCCAACGACAUAUUAUUUUCAAAUGUUGACAAUGUAUCCAGAUUAAUAUUAGUGAGAGAGAGAGAGAGAAAUGGGGUUUAACGUGCACUCGACACAAACUAGGUCAUUUCGGGACUAACAUAUGGUUUAAUUUUAUUUCAAUAAUUCGCCUGUGCAUUGGGGUCUUUAGCAGUGGGAGGAAACCGGAGGAUUAAUAUUAGUAGAAUAUAUUUCUGGAUGAUAGAGAAUAAACAUACUACACCUCUUGGUAAAGCUGUAUAUAAUUUCUAAAUCCAUUGCUUUUCAUCGUAUCUAUAAAAUAGUUCAAGAUGCAUAUGAAUAAAUUCAUAUUGUGAAGUUCUAGAACACAAAUAGCUUAAUAAUUUGCAUAAUUUAUUUGUUUUCAACUCUUAAAUUAUUUCUUUAAAAUAGAGUGUAUUAAUCAAAUGAAACAAAAGAUGUCUACCAAUUUAAAGUUGAUGUAAAUAUUCCAUUUCAUUUGCAUUAUUCAUUUUUUAAUGCAUCUAGUUCUGUGUGCUUUUUGUUACAUCCGAUUCUGUGUUCUUUUAAAUAUAUUAAAGAAAUAAAACAUAUUGAUAUGA